Long non-coding RNA from Culex quinquefasciatus (southern house mosquito), 1019 nucleotides. RefSeq lists it as uncharacterized. The record is from RefSeq and is a predicted model, not a curated record. NCBI's taxonomy places the organism in Eukaryota, Metazoa, Arthropoda, Insecta, Diptera, Culicidae. The transcript is spliced from 2 exons.
GGCGAGGGAUAGGACACAGCACCUUCCUGGUUUUGAUAGCAGAUAUGAAGGAAUUUAAAUGUUUUUAAGGUUUUGCGAGGAUUUGAACGAACCUGUGCUGCGCAAAUGUCCUUCUGCCGGUAGAAAACUUCACGAAAAAGCGGUAUUAGCGGGCGAGUCAAAUCGGACAGUCAUGUUACGGACCCAGAAUCGCAACCCGCUUGUUGCUCAAUUUCUGGCAGAGAAGAAACGGCCAGCUCUUCUGCGGACCGAUGGGAGAAACAGGAGCGGAACUGUUUAUUGAACUGUGGCGCGACAGAACAGUGAUGGAAUCGGAGUACUAGCAGCAGCACUUUUCGUCAAGCAUUCGGCAGGAGCAGCGCGGCAGUGAUGCGUUCAUGUAAGCGCUCUUGGCCACCACAGCCGGAACAGUGAAAAAACCAGGAUUGUUGUAGAUAGGAUGGAAAAUAAGUUUUAUUUCGACUGUUCUUUAGCGAGAGUAAACACACAGUGAGCUCAGUUCAUCUGCUUGCGUCAAACCCAAUCAACUGCCACAAAAAAGUACCCGUCACAGAAAAUGCCUUACCACAGACAAACAGACGUGCAACUCUUUUUCAAACCAUCGCCAACUAAAACCGUCAUUUCAAAUUCAAAUCAGUCAAAAAAUGGAUGCCGUAGUACCGCAACAAGACACGAACGUCGUCGGUGGCGCCACCGUAUCCCUUGGCCCUUUGACGUUUCAGUGCAUCACCGUGUGUGUGUGCAAUGUUUUCUUUAUAGCCAACACGUGGGGAGAAAAUCCAAUGUUGCAUUGUUAAUUUGAUUUGGUUAACUGCGGUAGAUUUUCUUGAAAUAAUUCGAUAUGGUAGAAGUGUGACUUUCGGUCGAUGACAUAUUGACCAACGAUCUGUUGUUUGGUAAAGAGACUUGGAGGAGGAGACAAAGACACAACACUGGAGUUCAAGGCAGUCCAGAGUAGAUUAACUGAACAUUUUGAAAACAAGAUAUGUAAAAGAAUAAAUCAGUUUAACACAAUUUAA